This is a non-coding RNA of Orycteropus afer afer, 71 nucleotides long. Lineage: Eukaryota; Metazoa; Chordata; Mammalia; Tubulidentata; Orycteropodidae. The record is from the annotation of a RefSeq genome assembly.
GCAAUGGUGGUGCAGUGGUAAAAUUCUCGCCUUCCACGCGGGAGACUCAGGUUCGAUUCCUGGCCAAUGCC